CCUUCCUAAGGCCAAAAGGCAUCAAUGUUCCCUGAGGGAAAGCUCAGUGAUUUCCAGCUCAGAGCAGCCUGUUUGGUCACUCCCUCCUGCCAGAGGGGAAAGGAUUGCUGGGCUUGGAUCUACAUCAGUCCUGCCAAGAGAGAACCUGGCAUUUGCAGCACAUCAUCUUCCUGCCAGCUACAGAACAGCAGUGACUUGGCAGAGCUUCCAUGGCCAGAUGUCACCCUCAUCUGGCUCUCUUGGCUCAGGCUGCUCCUUUGA
Long non-coding RNA from Manacus vitellinus (golden-collared manakin), 261 nucleotides. RefSeq lists it as uncharacterized. Lineage: Eukaryota; Metazoa; Chordata; Aves; Passeriformes; Pipridae. The record is from RefSeq and is a predicted model, not a curated record. The transcript is spliced from 3 exons.